Molecule: long non-coding RNA, 1133 nt
Organism: Solenopsis invicta (red fire ant)
Lineage: Eukaryota; Metazoa; Arthropoda; Insecta; Hymenoptera; Formicidae
Exons: 3
Source: RefSeq, a predicted model, not a curated record
CUUCUAGCUCAAGGCAGGGAUAAAAUAAUAAGUCGACGAUUCUUCAAGGCUCGUAGUUGCGUUCAAGACUUUAUUCUCAAAUACGCUGAUUGUCAAAAUGCAUAGCAAGAGACGACUCGAGAAACAAAGUUUCCACGGACGUCCUUACCGCACUCAGGGAUUCACUCCGAAAAGACCAGAACGAGGAGCCGCGUUGAUGUCAAAGUGCAUAGCAAGAGACGACUCGAGAAACAAAGUUUCCACGGACGUCCUUACCGCACCUACGGACUCGCUCCGAGAAAAUCAGAAUGAAGAGCCAAAUUGCUAAUGUCAAAGUGCAUAGCAAGAGACGACUCGAGAAACAAAGUCUCCACGGACGUCCCUGCCGCACUUACGGACUCACUCCGAGAGAAUCAGAAUAAAGAGCCGAAAUUGUUCCGCGGGGCGCGUAUUUAUGAGUGCGCGAAAAGCGUUAGAGGGGCACGCCGUUCCCCACCGUGCGAUCGUAGGGGAAGCAGCAAGCUCCUCCUUUUCUCUAAGUGAAUCCGCUUCCACCUGCAACGUUUUGUCCGUGGCGUUGUACUAAAUUGAACUGAGAGAAUUUGUUUAUAUUACUUUAUCAUUCGCGUGACGUAUUUGUCACUGAGGCCGCAUCACCUAUGCUUCAAGAGGAUGCUCUAUGGAUCUGUUACUUGAGCUCGCAAGCCGUCGCUGAGAAGAUACGACUAUGAAGAUUCCUCGCUUGCUUAAAGUGCGAUAUACCUGUUGUAAUCGUUAGUUGCAAAUUGAACUUGUUAGUUAACUAAUUGAGCUAGAUAUGUGAAAUUGAACCCUUAAUUGUAAAAUAUCAUUUCCUUUUAUGUGCCCGUAUCAAAAAUGUUAAAUAUGUAUUAUUUAAAGAGUGUUCUUAUUUGACUUGUCUAUGUAGUAGGCACUCACGUACAUGCUGUGUGUAUGUGUGAGUGUAUGCAUGUGCAGUGAAAAGUGAUUUUAUACCGUUCUUAUUUUAUAAGUUAAUAACUUUUAAACUAAUACAUAAAAAGUUUUGAAAUUUUGCAAGUGUGUUCCUUAAUGUUUGUUUUAAAUCGUAUUUAAGUUUAGUGAUUAAGAGAUGUAUUGUUUAAUUGUAAUAAAAUAUUAACUUAGCAAAAUGA